Molecule: ribosomal RNA, 480 nt
Filed under: Bertella idiomorpha
Lineage: Eukaryota; Metazoa; Chordata; Actinopteri; Lophiiformes; Oneirodidae
Description: partial 16S ribosomal RNA
Rfam family: Bacterial large subunit ribosomal RNA
Source: RNAcentral
UUUAACGGCCGCGGUAUUUUGACCGUGCAAAGGUAGCGUAAUCACUUGUCUUUUAAAUGGAGACCUGUAUGAAUGGCAUAACGAGGGCUUAACUGUCUCCUCUUUCUAGUCAAUGAAAUUGAUUUCCCCGUGCAGAAGCGGGGAUAACCCCAUAAGACGAGAAGACCCUAUGGAGCUUUAGACACGGAACAGACUAUGUCAACCACCCCUCACACAAGGCGGAAACAAAAUGCGUCCCUGUUCCAAUGUCUUCGGUUGGGGCGACCACGGGGCAAUAAAAAGCCCCCGCGCGGAAUGGGGACACACCCUCCUACAACCUAGAGCCCCCGCUCUAACUAACAGAAUUUCUGACCACGAAGAUCCGCCAAAGCCGAUCAACGGACCAAGUUACCCUAGGGAUAACAGCGCAAUCCUCUUCUAGAGACCCUAUCGACAAGGGGGUUUACGACCUCGAUGUUGGAUCAGGACAUCCUAAUGGUG